Molecule: long non-coding RNA, 4947 nt
Organism: Camelus dromedarius (Arabian camel)
Lineage: Eukaryota; Metazoa; Chordata; Mammalia; Artiodactyla; Camelidae
Exons: 4
Source: RefSeq, a predicted model, not a curated record
UCCUCUGAUCUUAAAGCUACAGUUUGACAGCAUAGCAUGUGAAUUUUCUUCAGAACAUCGAGGUCAGACUGGUGAACAGUCUGCUGCCAAAACCCAUCAGUACUUAACCGGGUCCUCGUGCCUCCUUGACCACUCUGUGUUUCACACCUUCAUGUCUCACUGUCUUUCACCCUCCCACGCCUGGAUGCUCAGCUUCGAGAUAUUCAGGACAAGACAAAGCUUUAGUUCCCCUUUUGUCCAGGUUCCCCCCUCCCUCUGUUUCUUCACCUCACUCCCUGUAGUGGGUUGAACAGUGUGCCAACCCCCAUCCCCCAGCCCCAACCGGCAAACAUAAGUCCACUUGGAAACUGAAUGUGGCCUUAUUUGGAAAAGGGUCUUUGAGGAUGUCAUUGAGUUAAUGAUCACAAGAUGAGCUCAUCCUGGAUCGAGGCGGAUCCGAUGGCAGUGUCCCGACAAGAGAAGCUGUAGGCAGGAGGGAAGGAGAUGCAGGUGCAGAGAGAGCAGAGUGAUGCUGCCACACCAAGGAGCACCUGGGGCCCCGAGAAGAGGGAAGAGACAAGGAUGGGUUCUGCCUUCGAGCUUUUGGAGGAGGAGUGGGCCUGGCGACGCCUGACUUCAGACUUCUGACCUCCGGAACUCGGAGAGAACACAUUUCUGCGUCCUAAGCCACCAAAAUGUCGGGCUCUGUCCUUACCAGAGGACUUGGAAGAAGAAAGCCAUAGUCUUCGGAAAUGUGAAAUCUUCCUAAAGUCAAUGAUGGUGUUGUCUUCAGAUUCGGACUCUGAGGCUCCAUAAUUUUGUUUGAAGUGUCUGCACCAAAGCUGCUCCUGAAGAGACAACUGCUCCAAAGCUAUGCAGUUAUCUCGGGAACAGGGGAGAACCUUGGUCUGAGGUUGAAUUCCACACUGCCGUGGACUUUCUCCUUCACAAAGCUGAAUCUGACUGCCAGGCUGUCUGUCAAAGGUACCAUCAGGGUUUGAAUUCACUUUAAUGUGGACUGAUUGGCAGUCCUUUAAAAGAAGUUUAAAGAAGUUAAAAGAAGUUAAAGAAGUUAAAAGAAGAUGAGAAGUUCCAGGCAAUAGACCUGCACUGUGAAAAUUCCGAAAACGCUACGUUUUGCCCAGCAGACCCUUCACUUGGGUUGUAAGGUUGUAAACAAAUUUAUUUGAAAAGUAAUUUGUCUAUACACAUCUUCUCCUCCCUCCCUUUCUCUAAGAUAGAUAGAAAAACUAAGGGCAGAACAUGCUCUGAGAAUUCGCGUAAUGGUUCUCACGGAGGAUGCAACCUGGAAGGUUCGUGUGGUCAAAAGUAGCCUAAUGGAUUUAUGGUUCCUUAGCCCCUAAGAGCCGUCCUCAGUUACUCACUGCCCUCUCAGCCCAGUAACCCGACCAGUCACAAAGUUCAGUUUCUGAUGCCUCCUAAAUGCAACUUGUCAAAUUUCCUAUAUGAAGUCUUGUUUUUUCCUUCAGUCUCACAUGAGAAGAAGGCACAGGUGUUUUUGCUUCCUCUAGUCACGUUAUUUUUCAUCCGUUCCCUCUGCACCCUCUCAAGAAUUUACUGUAACAUUAUAAAGGCACGGAAUCAGAAUAUCAGAACUGAAAGUAACCUUACUCAAUAAGUGAUUUAGUUCAACACUCACAGUAAACUGGGAAAACCUGAGAUUUAUGGGAAUGAAAUGACUUAACAAAUGUCCUUAUGGGAGUUGGCAUCAGAAUUGACCUAGAACUUGGACCUGCUGCCUCUCAGCCCAGAACUUUCCCACUCAGUGCACUCAGCCAGGCGACCUGGCUGUGAAUUUCGACUCUGUUUCCUCCUUAGUUAGCGGAGUUUUUAACAAGUGGCUUAACAUUCCAAACCUAUUUCCACCUCUGCGGAAAGCGGUAAUCCCAGUGAAUAAAAGAGAAACCUUACGUAAAGCACCUAGCAGAUAGGUCACAGUAAAUGCUAUUUUUCUCCUGUUCUUUUCCCCGCAUUCUGCAAAUCUAUUUUUAAUGUCGUAUUUUUUUCUGGUUUCCUUUCCGAUUAGCCUGACUACAUCUUUUCUGUUUCAGUCGCUAACUCCUUUUCCUAGUUCAGACCGAAACAUCUAAAUAUUUGCAGCAUUAUUAUAACCCAUUUAUCUACCUCACUGUUCUUAUGGAUUUGCAUCUGAUCUUAACCAUUAAUUCUAUGCCCAGGUACCUAAGUCUGCAUCUUCAGCCUUGACCUUCCUUGCUUCCACAUUCUAGGCCCUUGGAACGUGGUGGGCCAGUGACUAUCUCAGGUCCUGCCACAAAAUCGUUCAAGAACUCCUCACUGUAAGUUAAAUAAAGCUCACAUUUCCUUGGCCUGGCAUUCAGUGUCCAUCACCUGACCUCUAAACAUCCUUCUGGUUGUGCAAAAUUCUUCUGUCCCCUUGAACCUCUUUUGACAUCAUGUUUCAAGUUCUACCUGGUUUGCUUGUUACUAACAUUCAAGCUUUGUAUUUAUCUCAUCUUUUCUAUUAGAUUGUAAGCUCCUUGGCGAAGCCGUGUUUAACUCAGCGCUGUCUUUCCUUUAGCAGCACGUCCAGUGUCUGGAGUUCCACAUAUGUUUGUUAAUCAGUCAUCUCUCAGCAUCUCAUUUUUAGAGCUGGUGUCUGGAUGCCAGGGAGCAGCUGGCGGUCUUUUCUGUUGCCCCGCCGGAGCACCAGAGACUCGCUCUGCAGUAAGGGACACAGUGGCCACGUGGAAAUUUGCUCGUCAUCUUUCUUAUUGACAAAGAGGAAGUUGGUUAGACAUAAUUGUGCCCACGAACUUCCUCUCCUAAUAGUGAGGCUUGUCGUUUCGGAGUCCUGGGUUCCAUCGCCAGGUUUCCCGCUAACUGCUGUGGUAUCAGUAUGGAAGAAGGGUUCCAUCUUUCUUAGUCUGGGUAUUAGGGUCUUUUGGAAAUGGACCAAGGAACAUUCAGAAAAGGAAAAAAAAAAACAUUCACAAUGGAAAUUUUUAGGAUAUCAUUUAAAUGUUUUCUAAGUGCCGUUUCAGGCCUACAUAGUUUUGCUUUCAGAGUGAUAAAGUCCAAAAUCUGAACUGUCAAAAGCUGCCAGCCCAAACAGUACUGGUACACUGAGGUUAUCCUUGUACUGUUCAUUAAUGACCUCUUUGUUCAUAAAUUCAAUGGGACUUUCUAGUCCCUUCUGAUUAAUUGUUCGAGCAUCUGCAGUUUUGCUUCCUUCUUUGUUUUAUUUUAUUUUUUUAAAUUUUCUUCUUGACCUCCCCUAUGUCACGUAUUCCUUCUGGUUUCAUUCUACUUAAGACUAAUAAGAAAAAACUAAUAGUUAACACUCACUGAUUUUUCCUCUGUGCCAAGGCCUGUGGUAAGCAUCUUUCAUGGAGGGUCUCAGGUAACCAUCGCAACAGCCCUGUGGGUCAGGUACCAAUAUUAUCGCCAGAAUUCAGUUGAGGAAACAGCCCCUCGGGAAGGUUGUGUCAAAGCCUAAGGUCAUACUUUCUGUGAGAGAUGCAGUCAGGACUGGAGUACUCUGACUUUAAAGCCAUCGCUCCUAACCCCUAGGGAUGGCUUCCCUUCUUCGUUUUUUCUCUCUGUCAUUGUUCUGGUUACAGUUUACCACUGGUGAUCGCCAGAGUUCAGGUCCUGGACUCCCCUCUCUUCUUACGGCGUUCCCCCUGCCUGGGCGAUCAUCUCCAUUCAGAGACUUCAGCCAUCAUGUCUAGGCUGGGGACUCCCAGCGUUUUGUUUCUAGUUGGAUCUCUCCUGUCCUCUACUAGAUAUCCUUAGCACAACCACUCUCAAGAGGCAUCUCAAGAAAUACUUACGUAACACAUCAAACAUGUACCAGACUAACCUUCCAUUAAGACAGGGGCAAAUGCUUAGAAAACCUCCAGCGACCAGCGCAAGGUCCUGAGCAGAGAGCCCACUGCCAAGCGACAGACCCAAGGCUUCCUGACCACUUACUCUCUCACGGAAAUACUGUGGUGCUACACUCAUCUGCAGUCUGUUGAAUCCAGGAUGUGGAUUUCAAAUACCAAGGAACCACGUAUGCAGUGGAACCACAUAGACAGAGGCCUGAUGGAAAGUUACAUGCGGGUUUUCCACAGUCGGGAGGGCCAGCAUCCCUACCCACUGUGUUGUUCAAGGGUCAACUGUGUUUCUUCUUUUAACGGACAAUAUUUAGGUACCUCUCUAAGUGCUGUGAUGUAAAACUAGGAAGCCAUGGGUCCUUUCUUUGGGAAACUGACAAAUGAGCAAGUGAAAUAAGACACACACAAACACACAAAAACACACAAUCACUGUAUAAGGGCAAAAGGACAUGUACUGAAAGAGAAAAAACAUCUGUGGGGACAGAGUUGAGAGAGAUUUCCUCUAAGUUAAUCCUCUAGUUGGGCUGCGGCAAUGGCCUAAAAUAGUGGGUCUCAAAUAGAAAUGGGUGGGUGGGAAGUGGUGCUGUUGGCGUGAUCUUUGGGGAUCUUCCCAGGUUCCGUGAGGCAUUGACCAUUCUUGGAGAAUUAUAUGGUCUGGUCUGGUAUGUAUGGUCUUCAAAAGACAAAUUAUCCCGGUACUUUCCUUUUCUCAUUCACUCUGCCUCCCGCGCUAAUUAAAAUCAACAUAAAAACAGAAAAAUAGUUCCUAUUUUUACUUACUGACCAUGUUGUAAAUAGGAAACAAGGCCAUUGAGGGAAAACCCAUUGUAAACAUCUAAAAAUGUUAAAUAUGUUAGAAAAGCUAUUAAAUCAAAAUCAUUGUCUUUAUGAUCUGGAAGAAAUUUAAGGGCUAUUCUGCUUUUCAGCACACGUUGACAUUUUGUUGUUUGAAAUUUCCAUUGGUUCACAUGGCCAACCAGUUGACUUUUUAUGGAUUCAUUUUCAGAUCACACAUAGGAUUGAAUCAUAGUGUUGGGAGGUGCCUUAGUCUGUUUAUCUAUGAUCAUUUUUGAUGUGCAAAAAUAAAUCAUAGAGGUUAAGUGAAUUA